Molecule: transfer RNA, 89 nt
Filed under: Campylobacter gracilis RM3268
Lineage: Bacteria; Pseudomonadati; Campylobacterota; Epsilonproteobacteria; Campylobacterales; Campylobacteraceae
Description: tRNA-Leu
Rfam family: tRNA
About the family: Transfer RNA (tRNA) molecules are approximately 80 nucleotides in length. Their secondary structure includes four short double-helical elements and three loops (D, anti-codon, and T loops).
Source: RNAcentral
UGCCCGAGUGGUGAAAUUGGUAGACGCACCAGACUCAAAAUCUGGCGAGGGUGACCUCGUGUCGGUUCGAUUCCGACCUCGGGCACCAU